Molecule: unclassified non-coding RNA, 235 nt
Filed under: Hevea brasiliensis (rubber tree)
Lineage: Eukaryota; Viridiplantae; Streptophyta; Magnoliopsida; Malpighiales; Euphorbiaceae
Source: RNAcentral
AGCAGGACUCACCACAGCCAUGAUUUCAAUAAUUAAACACUGUCAAAGACUCGAAACACUAUUAUUUUCACUCUGCCAGACACUCUCCAGUAUUCAAAGACUCGAAAUAAUCAACUCAUCUUUCACAUCAACCUCAACUUCUCCCCUCUCCAAAGCUUCCUCUUUCUUCCUCAAAAUGGUUUCUUGAAUCAAAACCCUAAAUUUCAAGAAAAGUAUAGAGAGAGAGAGAGAGAGA